GGUGAAAACUUCCCUUAUCGAUAAAAGUUUUACAAGGUACUCAUUUCACAGGCAUUCAAAUCAAAACUGUCAAGUUCACUGUUACACAACUUUUCACGACCCGAAACCUGGAGACUUUGACUACAGGAUUGUUCCAUUCAGUUAUAAAGAUUUUCCAGUGCCCACACAGCGAAAGGCAAACACCCCCGACUGACUUUUGCAUCAUUCCCUCCUUAAACUCAAAAGCGAUCUUUAAUCUGUAGAAGAGAGAACUCUGAACCAUUCUUUAAUCUCGUACCAACUUCAGACAGCAGGUCAGCAUCUGUAGGGGCCGAAGAUUUAUCCUUCCAGUCGUGUCAUGUUGCAUUGGAAAGGAGGGGCCCAGUGUGAUGGAGCUACAGGUCACUGUUGGGCUACAGAUGAAGUCAGUGGCUUUCAUCAGACGUAAAGGCGGGGGUGUCUGUAAAUUAUGAAUGAAGAACCACUUUGUGGACGAAGGGGAUGAUGCAGAUUAUUCAUCCCUACUUCCUUCAGUGCAACUUCUCUGGCGGACGGGUUCUACUCCAGAGAGACGAGGGGGGACAGCGUUACUCAAUGGAGCAACACAAAUAGAUUAAAGGUGGCAGUAAAUUACUACUAUCCUUUUGUAUUUUAAAUCUCUUUUUUCAGUUUUGAACUGGUGAGGGUUUAUACUUGCUAUGUAGCUUUUGCAGAUGUCAGGUGUAUAAUUUACCAUUACGUUUUUAUGUAGCUGUAUUUUAUUUGUUUAUGUGUUGUUCAGUAUCUUCUAAUGUUAAACUCUUUAGUCUAAUAGAAAGGAUCGGAAAUCAAUCAGCAACAAACUAAUCAGUAUUCACUGUAUAUUUUCUUAUUCACAUUUUUUAUUUACUUAUAAAAAUUAAGAUUGAGUUACCACCAAUCAAAAUAAAUACAUAUGAUCAAAACCUAUUUUGCUAACUAGUUAUAUUUCCUGAACUGAUGUUGCACUUUUCCAGUCCUACUGAUCACUGACUUCAGGCACAUUCAUCCAGCUGUGCUAACAAACACACACACAUUCACAGAUGUGUGGCCAACACGGGGUUAAGUGUCUUGCCCAGGGGAACAUCGACAUGUGGCGGGAAGAAAGUUGGACUUUAACCCACAGCUUUCUAAUUGCAAGACCACUCAGCCACAGGUCACACCACAGCAAUAAAAUAUGUUAAAAAAAAAAAAUUUAAGUAGUAAUUGAAAAUAUAACAUAGAGAAAAACAAAUUUCACAGAUUAUUGCUACAGGAAGAGAGACUAGUAGCAACAUUCCUCUUUUUGCACUCUGAGAUGCCGCACUGUUUACAUUAACUCUUGUUUAUGUGACUUCAGCCUUACUGCCUUUGUAUGUCAUUGUUAAAAGCAGGCUGUUUAGCUCCAGAAUAAAUGUUUUUAAUUUAUUUUUGAAGACACGCCUUUGUCUGGCAGUUCCCGCUUGGGGCGAAACAUCAUUGAUGUGGAGAGGAAGAAUGAUAGCUGCUGAUCAUGUAGCCUGUCGGCUGCGGAUGACUUGAGUGGAACAGAUCAAGUUAUGGAUGAUUCAUUUCAACUCUGAAGCGAUACUCGUCUGCUGACAUAAUCAGGACCUCACUGACUUUACAGGUCAGCAGUGGAGGGGGGAAAGAGGGCAAGCAGGAAGGUGUGGUGCAUAAACAAGCUUUAGUUGGAAAUAUACAAAAUGUCCAUUAAAUACACCCUCUUUCAAGUUCACCUACAUGCUGAAUAUCUCCUAAUAUGGUUUGCUUUUCAUUUUUCACCCAGAAACUUUAUGAAAUAUCCUGUCUGUGUUUCUCCCGGUUCAGAAACUUAUAAUUAUUGAAUUUAUCUGUGAGCAGCACACCUGCACGGGAUCACUGAUGUGGUAGAUGUUCAGUUCUGAAACAAUCCCGAGUCGGGUCCUGUCUGAUGGAGGUAUAGGAGCCAGCAGGAGGAGGCUUUGGGAGGAGCCAAUGGCAGAGGAAGCUCUGAAGAAGAAACAAAAAAAAGAGGGACAGAGUCAGAGGAGGGGGUGAAAAAAGGUAGGAUGGGGAGGGAAGAAAAAAAUAAAAAGGAGGCUCUGAGAGGGAUCUAACUCUGGCAUAAAAGUAAAUUCAAAUGCAUUAUUCAUGGAUUUCUAUGUCAAAAUAUCAUUUACGUGUGCUGUGUUGACUCAUGGUUCAUAAAAUGAGAAGGACAUGAAAAGAAAGAAAGGAUGGAAGAAAACAAACAACUCAGGAGGCUCCUGUUUAUUAUUCUUUAUCCACCCAAUAAGCAACUAUCUUGUCAGAGUAACACUACCAUCAAAGUUUGCAUAUUUAAAGAGAGACUGAGGGAGUCUUGGUUGUAUUUUCAACAGACUUAAAGCACAAAGCUCCAGGUUUUUAAAAAUGAAAUCAUAUAAAUAAAUCACAAUUGAAUUGUCUUGAUUGAUUAAGUCUUCAAGCAGUCCUUAAAGCCUGGGCCAAGCAAACCAGAGUUGGUGAGACUUUUUGGGUCUGCAAAUUUUUAUUUUGGAUUCCCUGCACAAUGAGUGAAGCCACUACUGUACCGACAUGAGUCUCCUCUGUCUCUUUACAAGUACAACACCACAGCAACCCCCACAGGUGCACAGCAGUAUUACUGACUCAAUCAACUUUAGUCACGUUUAAUUACAGUGGUUUCCAUGUUGCAGGUUGAUAGCUGGAUAAAACCGAAAGGUCACGAGACGAUUAACUGGAUAAAAAAAACUGACUACGGUGUUCCUGUGCAUGAAAAUAAAUUGCGCAUUUAAAUUUAUCAAACUAUAAAGGUAAAUAAAGAGCAAAAUAAAGGUAAACACAAACGAGGGCCUCAAAGAUCAUCAUAUCGGUGUGCGUGUGUGCAGAGGCUGCCCAGCACAUGUGACCUGCUCCACUUUUAUUUUGAUUUAUAAGCCUGCUGUAGAGCCUCAUCACAGAAUCGCUUCAUCUUCUCUCCUUUAUUACACCACAUUUGUUUUCAUUUUCCUCCCAAGUUGGGGCUGAAUACAUUACAGUUUUCCCAUGGGGCUGCGGUGGGGCCAGCCUCUCCACCACCAAUGGGACGCCAGGAUGACAGGGAGGGAUUUCUCGGCGCGUUUCAUCAUUAGCAGCGUUAGCAGUGUUUUCACACUAAAGACGUUGUUACUGGAUUGCUGCUAUUUUGUGGUACCAGCACAGCGGAUGCUGGUCAAGCACAUUGAUCGGCAUGACAUCAAUCAGAGCCGCUCAAGUCACUGAUCAAGUGGUUGGUGAGUGAGUAACUGUGGUAAAACCUAAAAACAAGCUUUAGUAUGAAAUCAACCACAGUUUCAAUUUCUGUUUUAUUUUAAAUUAGGUGGUUCUGUCAUUCCUGUAUGCCUGGGGCUAACAUUGAGAGACAAAUCUCGUUCAGACUUUGAAAGAUACUUAAGAUAAGAACAUGAGUGGAGAUAAUCUGGCAACUGAGUUUAGCAUAGAGAGGUCAGUGACAGGUUAAUGCACACUUAAAUGGAGGAGGGGAGCUGAGACAUUGAGAUGUCCAAUCAUCAUGGUGCACAAGUGCAUAAAAAAAUGAUAAUAUGGGUACAUUAUUCAUACAAUAAUGUCCCAAGUUAAUGCAAAAUUAGUACAUUACAAGCAAUUGUUUCAUCUGUGCAUUACUGUUAUGUAGCACUAAAAGGAGAAGCUUUCAAAAUGUUAUUAUACAUGAAUUUUUUUGUCGGGUGCAUAUUUUCAACGCCCUUCACUUAGAUAAAGCUGAAUAAUAUCUUGUUUUAUCACUUGCCUUCACAUGUGAUCUCAGUCAAAAGUGCUGAUGUUCUUCAAAGAUCUCAGAGGUUUAUUGGAGAACACUAGUGAACAAGCAGCUACAGGUGAGCCUGAGGAGGAUAUUAAAAUUUGAAAUCAAAACAUGAUGUUUUGAACCCAUGCACAGAGCACUAUACAGUCAAUCAUACAGAAAUGUAAAAUGUCUGACAGAACUGCAGACCAAGUCAUGGACAUCCAGUUGGUCACAGAAACAGUCAAGAAGAGCGUGGUAACUUUGGAAGAGCUGCAGG
This is a long non-coding RNA of Xiphophorus couchianus (Monterrey platyfish), 4019 nucleotides long. RefSeq lists it as uncharacterized. The record is from RefSeq and is a predicted model, not a curated record. The transcript has 3 exons. Lineage: Eukaryota; Metazoa; Chordata; Actinopteri; Cyprinodontiformes; Poeciliidae.